RNAcentral lists this ribosomal RNA (147 nucleotides) under uncultured bacterium. RNAcentral's name for it is "partial 16S ribosomal RNA". It matches the Rfam family "Bacterial small subunit ribosomal RNA", at positions 355 to 519 of the family's 1533-position model. The record is from RNAcentral.
UGGGGAAUAUUGCACAAUGGGGGAAACCCUGAUGCAGCGACGCCGCGUGAGUGAAGAAGUAUUUCGGUAUGUAAAGCUCUAUCAGCAGGGAAGAUGAUGACGGUACCUGAGUAAGAAGCCCCGGCUAACUACGUGCCAGCAGCCGCG